AUUGAACGCUGGCGGCAUGCCUUACACAUGCAAGUCGAACGGCAGCGCGGGAGCAAUCCUGGCGGCGAGUGGCGAACGGGUGAGUAAUACAUCGGAACGUGCCCAAUCGUGGGGGAUAACGCAGCGAAAGCUGUGCUAAUACCGCAUACGAUCUACGGAUGAAAGCCGGGGAUCGCAAGACCUUGCGCGAAUGGAGCGGCCGAUGGCAGAGUAGGUAGUUGGUGAGGUAAAGGCUCACCAAGCCUACGAUCUGUAGCUGGUCUGAGAGGACGACCAGACACACUGUAACUGAGACACGGCCCAGACUCCUACGGGAGGCAGCAGUAGGGAAUCUUGCGCAAAGGGCGAAAGCCUGACGGAGCAACGCCGCGUGAGUGAUGAAGGUCUUCGGAUCGUAAAACUCUGUUAUUAGGGAAGAAAAUAUGUGUAAGUAACUGUGAACAUCUUGACGGUACCUAAUCAGAAAGCCACGGCUAACUACGUG
This 484-nucleotide ribosomal RNA is filed under the name uncultured bacterium. RNAcentral's name for it is "partial 16S ribosomal RNA". It matches the Rfam family "Bacterial small subunit ribosomal RNA", at positions 30 to 507 of the family's 1533-position model. The record is from RNAcentral.